AGUGUACAAGAUAGACCCGCAUGUCUAAGUAUAAAUAACUACACACUAAAACUGCCAAUGGCUCAUUACAACUGUUAUAGUUUAUUUGAUAUAACAAAUGGAUAGCUGUACAAAAACUAGAGCUAAUACAUGCCAUAACCGUAAGGUUGUAUUUAUUAGGUAUUCCUGGUAGGUGAUUCAUAAUAACUCAGCGAAUCGUGACUUGUUCACGAUAAAUCAUUCCCGUUUCUGCCCUAUCAUGCUUUCGAUGGUAGUGUAUUGGACUACCAUGGCUCUCACGGGUAACGGAGAAUUGGGGUUCGAUUCCGGAGAAGGAGCCUGAGAAACGGCUACUACAUCUACCGAACGCAUCACGCGCGUCCCUUACCCACUCCUGACUCAGGGAGGUAGUGACAAGAUAUAACAACGUGAAGUGAACUUCUCGAUUGUACUGAGGUUAUUCCUAACCGAACUUCACCUACGAUUGGAGGACAAGUCUUGGGGCCCACACCCGCGGUAAU
This 500-nucleotide ribosomal RNA is filed under the name uncultured eukaryote. RNAcentral's name for it is "SSU rRNA". It matches the Rfam family "Eukaryotic small subunit ribosomal RNA", at positions 34 to 583 of the family's 1831-position model. The record is from RNAcentral.